UCAGGGCAUCUGCUGAAGAGGCUUUGAAGGCAUCUGUUGAAGAGGCAGAACAGGUUGCUGCAGGCCAAACAAGACCUGAGAUUGGGUCAGUUGUUGAAGAGGCUACAACCCAAACAAGACCAGAUGUUGAAGCACCGACACCAAGUGUUGAAGUUUUUGACACCAAUGAACCAAUUGUUGGGCCUAGAGAAAAAGGGAAGAAAGCAAGCAAUGUGAGCAAGGGAGCAGAGGGUAAAGACAAGGGGAAGAGGUUGUAGCAAGUAGAUAAAGGGAAGAAGGCUGCUAGUGAAACAACAGCCAAGAAGAGUAGAUCUUAGCCCAAGUCUAAUGGGAGACAAAAGAAGCAGCCAAGGUACAAUACCAGAAAGAAGGGCAGUAAGGGAUAUGAGGAGGUAGAUAGUGAUGAUUCAAGCUCGGAUGGUUUAGAUUUUUAUGUGGACAGCGAAUAUGACCAAGGAGAUUAUGAGGAUGACCAACAGUUUCAAGAAAAUGUGUCAAAUCCCCAAAAUGUGGAAAAAUUUGAAGAGAUGGGAUUCAGAGGAGACUGUGGUGAUGAUGGGGUUGAAACAGAUGAAAGUUGGGGAGUUUGAAGGGAUCUGAGAUAGAGGAGGAUGAAGAUGAGAAUUUUUUCCCUAUAGCAGCUUGGAGAGGCAUAAAGCUCAAGUCUUGGAACGGAAGGGUAGAUCUUAAAAACUCUAGGUUUGUUGUUGGUUUGUGUUUCCCAAAUUCAGAGUAGUUGAAGGAGCCAAUUAGGGGGUAUGAUCUCAUGAGCAGAAGAGGAAUUUGAUUUAAGAAGAACACAGCCAAGAAGAUUGAAGUUAAAAAUCAGUGGGGAUGUGAUUUUUGGUUGUAUGCUAGUGGGAUAGCUGGCCUUUGGCCCAACACACUUGUGAUCAAGACUCUCAUAUCUAAGCACAAGUGUUCAUACAUUCAGUCCAGUCACCACAUAAACUACAAUAGGGUUGCUAAGGAGGUACAACAAGACCUCUUGGUUGAUUAAGAUUGGAGCAGAAAAGGGAUUUAGAACCACAUCCAGAAGAAGUUCAAUUUGGAUGUGAAUGUGUAGACCAUCUCGAGGGGAAAGAACAAAGCCAAAAGGAUGAAUGAGGGACACUAUGUUGAGCAGUACAACAAGCUGGCCAGCUAUAAGAAUGAAUUAUUGAGAAGCAACCCAGGUUCAACAGUGGAGAUCAAGACUGAAAUGGUUGGGGAAGUAAGGAGGUUUCACAGAAUGUAUGUGUGCUUGGUAUCUUGCAAGAAGGGCUGGAUGGAUGGCUGCAGGCCUUUAAUUGGGUUGGAUGGGUGUCACAUUAAGGGUCACCACCCGGGCCAAUUGUUAUAUGUUGUUGGGAUAGAUGCAAACAAUGGGAUGUUCCCCAUUGCUUAUGUAGCUGAGGUUAAGAACACUAAUUCAUAGAGGUGGUUUUUAAGGUAGCUCAUGUGAGAUUUGAGGAUUAAGAGGGAUUCAGCCUACACCUUCAUCACAGACAAGCAGAAAGGAUUGGGGAUUACAAUAGCAGAGUUGUUUCCCAAUGCUGAACACAGGCACUGUGUUAGGCAUAUGUACAACAACUUCAAAGCAAAGCAUCCAAAAGAAGGCCUAAAACAGCUAGUUUGGGAUGUAGCAAGAUCAAGUACAAAAGUGUGGUUCAAAAGGCAUAUGGACAAGAUGCAGCGGCUGGAUCCACAAGCAUGGCAGUAGUUUUAAGAUAAGAAUCCAGCUCAAUGGAGUAGAGCAUACUUCAGAGAAGAUGGGAGGUGUGAUAUACUGCUGAAUAUCCUCUGUGAGUCAUUUAAUGCAGCUAUUAUUCCUACUAGGGAUAAGCCAAUCUUGACUAUGCAUGAGAAGAUAAGGAUGGACUUGCUGGUUAGGAUAGCUAACAGAAGAGUUGCAGUUCAGGGCUGGAAAGAUAUGGUUGGCCCUAGGAUUAAGAAGAUUAUGGAUAAGGUGGCAGAGAGAACUUCAUGUUAUAGAGCAUGGAGUAGUGGUGAAUUUGAGUUUCAAAUUACUGGAGGGGGAGAUAAUGGAAGCAAACAUGUUGUGGACUUGAGGCUUCACACAUGUACAUGUAGGAGGUGGCAAUUGAGUGUCAUACCUUGUGUUUAUGCCAUAUGUGCCAUUAGAAGCAACGAAGCAGAAGCUGCCCUGUUUUGUAAUGACUACUUGAUGCCUUCUAGUUAUAUGGAGGCAUACAGUCCCAUUAUCCAUCCUAUUGCUGGGGAGGAUGAUUGGGAAGUUGUGGAUUACCCUAUUGCACCUCUCCCAUAUAAGAAGCAAGCUGGAAGGCCUAGAAUGACCAGAUUCAAGGAACCGGGUGAGAACAAGUAGGCUCCACCAACACCAGACCCAACAAACACAACAAGGAUGCCUAGAACAUACACAAAGAUGACUUGUCAGGUUUGCUUCAAAAAAGGGCACAACCGGUUGGGCUGCUCAAUCACUAAGGCAAAAAAUGCAGAGCAGCAAAGCAAUCAGGGGAAGGUAGUUCUAAUGGUGCCUAGUAAACUAGGAAAAGGCAAAGAAGGCAGCAGGCACCAAAAGUUUUAGCUACAAACGGUAACACCAGUUUGAAAGAUCAACUCAUUAAGUCUAGGAAGGCUUGGAAGAAGCGAAAGACCAUGGAGGGCAACCAAAGUGCCAAUGUAGGGCUUCUAGUUCACAAACAAGGCAUGGACCUCCAACACAAAGUAGCCAAAACCCAGCAGCAAAAAAGGCAGAUCAGAAAGGCAAAACUGAAUUUGAGUGGGCAGCACUAUGAGGCAUGUUGUCAUGAACCAAUCCAUUUGUGGUUCUCAUGUAUGAUCUGUUCAAUGAUGUGAAGAACAGUUGGUGUAAUUGCUCUCUUUUGAUGACAUUUUCUUGAACAAU
This is a long non-coding RNA of Rosa chinensis, 2869 nucleotides long. RefSeq lists it as uncharacterized. Lineage: Eukaryota; Viridiplantae; Streptophyta; Magnoliopsida; Rosales; Rosaceae. The transcript has 3 exons. The record is from RefSeq and is a predicted model, not a curated record.